The sequence is a ribosomal RNA, 2936 nucleotides long. It matches the Rfam family "Bacterial large subunit ribosomal RNA". The record is from Rfam.
GGUUAAGUGAAUAAGCGUAUACGGUGGAUGCCUAGACAGUCAGAGGCGAUGAAGGACGUGCUAAUCUGCGAAAAGCGUCGGUAAGCUGAUAGGAAGCAUUAUCAACCGACGAUUUCCGAAUAGGAAAACCUGAUGCAGCAAUAAGCAAUUAUAAUGCAUCAUUAUUAAGUAAAUUCAUAGCUUAAUAAAGCAAACCAGGAGAACUGAAACAUCUAAGUAUCCUGAGGAAAAAAAAUCAACUGAGAUUCCCUUAGUAGUGGCGAGCGAACGGGGAACAGCCUAGAGUUAUCAGCAGUAUAAAUAUCAGAAAAAUGGUCUGGAAAGUCCAGCAAUAUAAGGUGAUAGCCCUGUAUUUAAAGUUAUUUAUUCUGUGAACUCAAAAAGUAGGACGAGACACGUGGUAUCUUGUCUGAAGAUGGGGGGCCCAUCCUCCAAGGCUAAAUACUACUGACUGAUCGAUAGUGAACUAGUACCGUAAGGGAAAGGUGAAAAGAACCCCGGUAAGGGGAGUGAAAUAGAACCUGAAACCGUAUACGUACAAGCAGUAGAAGCAUGAUAAGUUAUUGUUAUGAUGUAACUGCGUACCUUUUGUAUAAUGGGUCAGCGACUUAUAUUCUGUAGCAAGGUUAACCGAAUAGGGGAGCCGAAGGGAAACCGAGUCUUAACUGGGCGUUAAGUUGCAGGAUAUAGACCCGAAACCCGGUGAUCUAGCCAUGAGCAGAUUGAAGGUUAGGUAACACUAACUGAAGGAUCGAACCGACUAAUGUUGAAAAAUUAGCGGAUGACUUGUGGCUAGGGGUGAAAGGCCAAUCAAACCGGGAGAUAGCUGGUUCUCCCCGAAAGCUAUUUAGGUAGCGCCUCGUGAAUUCAUCUUUGGGGGUAAAGCACUGUUUCGGCUAGGGGUCCAAAUUGGAUUACUAAACCAAUGCAAACUAAGAAUACUAAAGAAUGUUAUCACGGGAGACACACGAUGGGUGCUAACGUCCAUCGUGAAAAGGGAAACAACCCAGACCGCCAGCUAAGGUCCCUAAGUCAUAGUUAAGUGGAAAACGAUGUGGGAAGUCAUAAACAACCAGGAUGUGGGCUUAGAAGCAGCCAUCAUUUAAAGAAAGCGUAAUUGCUCACUGGUCGAGUCGGCCUGCGCGGAAAAUGUAACGGGGCUAAAUUAUGCACCGAAGCUGCGGCAGCAAAAUAAUUUUUAUAUUAAAUAAAAAUAAUUUGUUGGGUAGGGGAGCGUUCUGUAAGCCUGUGAAGGAAAGUUGUAAAAUUUUCUGGAGGUAUCAGAAGUGCGAAUGCUGACAUAAGUAACGAUAAAGCGGGUAAAAAACCCGCUCGCCGAAAGACUAAGGGUUCCUGUUCAACGGUAAUCGGAGCAGGGUAAGUCGACUCCUAAGGCGAGGCCGAAAGGCGUAGUCGAUGGGAAACAGGUUAAUAUUCCUGUACUUUAUAUAAUUGCGAAGGGGGGACGAAAAAAGCUAGGUCCGCCAGAGAACGGUUGUUCUGGUUUAAGCGUGUAGGUGAGAAAAGCAGGCAAAUCCACUUUUCUAUAACACUAAGGCGUGAUGACAAAAUCAUUUCGAUGAUAAAGGGAUUAAUGCUAUAUUUCCAAGAAAAGCCUCUAAGCUUAAGAUUAUAUAGAAUCGUACCUCAAACCGACACAGGUAGUCAUGUAGAGAAUACUAAGGCGCUUGAGAGAACUCGGGUAAAGGAACUAGGCAAAAUGGUGCCGUAACUUCGGAAGAAGGCACGCUGACAUGUAAGUUAUAGGAUUUACUCCUAACGCUGAAGUCAGUCGCAGAUACCAGCUGGCUGCAACUGUUUAUUAAAAACACAGCACUGUGCAAACACGAAAGUGGACGUAUACGGUGUGACGCCUGCCCGGUGCCGGAAGGUUAAUUGAUAGAGUAAAUAGCUCUUGAUCGAAGCCCCGGUAAACGGCGGCCGUAACUAUAACGGUCCUAAGGUAGCGAAAUUCCUUGUCGGGUAAGUUCCGACCUGCACGAAUGGCGUAAUGAUGGCCAGACUGUCUCUACCCGAGACUCAGUGAAAUUGAAUUUGCCGUGAAGAUGCGGUAUACCCGUGGCAAGACGGAAAGACCCCGUGAACCUUUACUAUAGCUUGAUACUGAAUAUUUUGCUUUAAUGUGUAGGAUAGGUGGGAGGCUUUUAAUGUAGACUAAAAUCUACAUAAAGCCGUCCUUGAAAUACCACCCUUUAAUGUUUGAUAUUCUAACUCUAGUCCGUUAUCCGGACUGAGAACAGUGUCUGGUGGGUAGUUUGACUGGGGCGGUCUCCUCCCAAAGAGUAACGGAGGAGCACAAAGGUUAGCUAAUUACGGUUAGAUAUCGUAAGGUUAGUGCAAAGGCAUAAGCUAGCUUAACUGCAAGAGUGACGAUUCAAGCAGAUGCGAAAGCAGGUCUUAGUGAUCCGGUGGUUCUAAAUGGAAGGGCCAUCGCUCAACGGAUAAAAGGUACUCCGGGGAUAACAGGCUAAUACCGCCCAAGAGUUCAUAUCGACGGCGGUGUUUGGCACCUCGAUGUCGGCUCAUCACAUCCUGGGGCUGAAGUAGGUCCCAAGGGUAUGGCUGUUCGCCAUUUAAAGUGGUACGCGAGCUGGGUUUAGAACGUCGUGAGACAGUUCGGUCCCUAUCUGCCAUGGGCGUUGGAAGAUUGAGAGGGGCUGCUCCUAGUACGAGAGGACCGGAGUGGACGCACCGCUGGUGUUCGGGUUGUCAUGCCAAUGGCAUUGCCCGGUAGCUACGUGCGGAAAAGAUAACCGCUGAAAGCAUCUAAGUGGGAAACUUGCCUCAAGAUGAGUCUUCCCUGAGGUAAAAACCUCCUAAAGGGACGUUAAAGACGAUAACGUUGAUAGGUCAGAUGUGUAAGCGCUGUGAGGCGUUGAGCUAACUGAUACUAAUGACCCGUGAGACUUAACCUU